UGGGGAAUAUUGGACAAUGGGCGCAAGCCUGAUCCAGCCAUGCCGCGUGAGUGAUGAAGGCCCUAGGGUUGUAAAGCUCUUUCACCGGUGAAGAUAAUGACGGUAACCGGAGAAGAAGCCCCGGCUAACUUCGUGCCAGCAGCCGCGGUAAUACGAAGGGGGCUAGCGUUGUUCGGAUUUACUGGGCGUAAAGCGCACGUAGGCGGACUUUUAAGUCAGGGGUGAAAUCCCGGGGCUCAACCCCGGAACUGCCUUUGAUACUGGAAGGCUUGAGUAUGGUAGAGGUGAGUGGAAUUCCGAGUGUAGAGGUGAAAUUCGUAGAUAUUCGGAGUAACACCAGUGGCGAAGGCGGCUCACUGGACCAUUACUGACGCUGAGGUGCGAAAGCGUGGGGAGCAAACAGG
Molecule: ribosomal RNA, 404 nt
Filed under: Actinomycetes bacterium
Lineage: Bacteria; Bacillati; Actinomycetota; Actinomycetes
Description: Actinobacteria bacterium partial 16S ribosomal RNA
Rfam family: Bacterial small subunit ribosomal RNA
Source: RNAcentral